This 162-nucleotide ribosomal RNA is filed under the name Muscari racemosum. Its description in RNAcentral is "5.8S ribosomal RNA". It matches the Rfam family "5.8S ribosomal RNA". From Rfam's summary of the family: 5.8S ribosomal RNA (5.8S rRNA) is a component of the large subunit of the eukaryotic ribosome. It is transcribed by RNA polymerase I as part of the 45S precursor that also contains 18S and 28S rRNA. Lineage: Eukaryota; Viridiplantae; Streptophyta; Magnoliopsida; Asparagales; Asparagaceae. The record is from RNAcentral.
UUUACGACUCUCGGCUACGGAUAUCUUGGCUCUCGCAUCGAUGAAGAACGUAGCGAAAUGCGAUACUUGGUGUGAAUUGCAGAAUCCCGUGAACCAUCGAGUCUUUGAACGCAAGUUGCGCCCAAGGCCACCACGGCCGAGGGCACGCCUGCCUGGGCGUCA